AACGCAGCACUUGAAAUCAGGCAUGGUAAGACCAGUGUGCUGCUCUGCCACUGCUCAGUGGAAUCUAAAUUUAGGGAUGCACAUGAGUUAUGGGGCAUAGUGUCAUGGGAAUGCUGCAAAGGAACUGGAAGAAGAGAGUGCUCUUACAGCUUCUUUACCAUAUUGCUCCAGAUGGUCCACGUUCUUAUGGAAAGUCUGAUUCUGGAAGGAAUUGUCAGCUCAUGCCACCCCAUCUGAGAAACUGAGUGAUUAUAGACUCCUUUUUCAUGGCUCUGUUGCAUUAAGCAGCAGAACUCUUUGCUAAUAGCAUGGGCCAUAUGUUGCCUUUACUAAACAGCACAGUGUGGAGCAGAGGAAUAAGAAUACAAGUGAGAUGAAGACAGAGUACGAACAGCAAGUCAAAAAAGAGGACAGACCAACUUCCUUAACAAGACGAACAACAGAAACUUCACUGGACAAUGGUGAAUGAGCCAUUUGUUAUGAUAAGUGAAUUCCAAUCAAAUGUUUAAUGAACUUUGGAACAAGGCAUGGAUAAGCAGAAUGAGGCAAGACUGCCAAAUAUGCUUUUAGAGGACUGAAAACAUAAUGGAGUCCAGCCACUUUGCCCAGGCUUCCAGUUUUGAUGUGGAAGUUGCUACAAGUUAAAGAUAAUACUGGGUGUAUUGAAGGACAAAGUGAAACAACAGGAAUGAAGGGCAGGAAGAAAGGUGACAUCAAAAAAAGAUUCACCUGAAGAGAGAAUGGUGAAAGGAAUGGAUCUGCCACAGAUUACAGUCCCAGUGACUGUAGAUGAGAUGCAUAAAUAGGUGGCCAUAGAACAAGGCAGGGAGAGCACGUGUUGCUUAGUCCAAGGCUGAACGCUCUUCUGUUUGUUGCAUUUCAUGUUCUCAAACCAGAAGAGGUGAGGAAUUCUUGCCAAGCUGAAAUGUUUCAUGAUGGAAUGUAUCUUGUCAAAGUAUUUGUAGAUCCUUUCUAUGCUCUUUUUAUCUAUGUCAUAUGGUAUUUUUUUUACUUUUGUUGAAAAUGAGCCUCCUCAUUUUCCAGCAGAGACAGCAUAGAAUUCUAUACUGGGAUGGAAGAGUAACUUCUAGUUUCACAAUAGAGAUAUAGGUUUUUCCUCUUUAGCAAAAAAAUGCGGGAGAAAGCUGGAAGCCCUUCAGAACACAUUUUUUCCUUCUUCAUGAUAUUUCAGUGUAUUCAGCAUCAGGAGGUGUUUAAAGGCACAUUGGAUAGAUGUCAACUAUUUUCCUUGUUGUUAAAGCUGAGAGAGAUUCAAUGUAUGGUGAUUAACUUCCCUAAGAAUAUUCAGAAUUAUAUUCUAAAGGCAACAGAUUCAUUAGGUCACUUAUAAUUUUAGAGUUAUAUAACCUGGGCUUAUAAAACUGACUGAAGGAGAAGAUUGUGGAUUAUCAUAUCUCAUCAAAGACUAAUGUUCACUUGCAACCCAUGUAGGUUUCCUGCUUUGCUGAAAUGGUUGGCAUUUAAGAUACUGUUGGCUGUCUGGUUUAGUUUAAGCAACUCUAUGACAGAGCCUUCAGCUUACUCUGACACCCUCCCUAUAUACAUUCCAAGUGGCCUGACCCUGCUUCCAUCUCCUGUGUAUUUCCUGCUUACACUUUAGUGAUGACAGGAGUUCCUUGUUCAACCAGGCAAGACUCUUGUUUUCUUUGGUUUCUUUGGGGUGCAUCCAUUGCAUUGGGAUGGAUCCACCCAUAGUGGUGCAUCAUUCUUGAGCCUGGAGGAAGUGAACUUUGAAUAUCAACCAGGUCUCUUGGACCCCUCUUCCCACAGGAUCUGUUCCCAUGGGAUUCUUCCAAGAAGAUCCCUAAAGAGGCUGAAGUCAGCUGUCCUGAAAUCCAUGGUUACAAUCUUACUCUCUGCCCUGCUUCUUCCUUGUCCAGUGCUGAACGCCACAAUCUCAUGGUCACUGUGGCCAAGGCAGCCCCCCAGCCUUCACAUCUCUGACAAAGCCUUCCCUGUUUGUCACUCUGAGUUAACCAGAACACCAUUCCUUGUGGGAUCCUCCCCUACCUGUGGCAAGAAGUUGUCAGCAAGGCUUUACAAGAGCUUCCUGGACUCAUUGUUCCUCGUUGUGUUACUUCUCCAGUAGAUAUCAGGGUAGUUACAUUCCCUCACAAGAACCUGUCCCUGUGAUUUUGAGGCUGCUUCAAGCUGCCUUUAGAAUGCUUCAAUUUUUUAACUUGAUGCAACAUCAGUAUCUGUUGCAAUAAUUCUAACUGGAAAUCAGCUAGGACAAUGAGUCAUUUAAUGCAAUUACUAUUUUACAAAGUUACUUGCUAAACUUAUUUUUACCUUUUUUUAUAGGAAACCAUUAGUUUACUAUUAGCUGUUUCGGAGAAGAUUUUUGGCAUUUAACUUUUGUCUUUAUUUUCUAAAGCUUACUUUAGUAAGUAGCUAACUUUUCAAAAUUAAAAUAGUUGAGUCUUUUGAUGAUUCUCCAUUGAGAUCAUCCUUCAUCCUUGAAACUUGUUUACUGAACUAUGUGAAAUGUUUAUAAUACUAAAUAGUAGUAAUAAAACAUAAUGCAAGUGUGAGAAUAAGUUUGUUACUCUAAUCUCUCUGUCUUCACAACUUAAAUUGGUUUGCUUCCAUUUAAAUCAAAGAUUUAGACUCAUUUACACCAGCAAAAGUUUUUUGCUUUCUCUUGUAUCACAUAAUUUUGACCCUCAGAAUGUCUUGCAGUGAACUAUCAAAGACAUCCAUUCCUUUCUGCAGAAGCAAAUGCCACACAUUCCCUUUGUAGCUGUUUCCAAGAGAGGGAGUAGUUUGAAAUUUUUUGGCCAAGUUACAAUGAAGUGCCAUAAGAGUGUUGACAGAUGCAGCUUCAUGUGCCAGCAUCUGGCUCUGACUCACAGUGGGAUGAUAUAAACUGGGAAUAAUGGAUAGCUGUUUUGCCUCUGUGGGAUGGUGUCAGGAUUGUAUGCUAACAUCCCCAUUGAGAGAUAAAUGUCAUUUCAGAGUUUGACAAAAUAAACAGGUUGUGGAAUGGGGGAAGGGUGGUCAUAGAAAAGAAUCUUGUUAAAAUGCGGUCAGUGGAUAUCCUCUCAUAGUUUCUCAUAGCUGAAUAGAAAUGUAAAGAAGCAAUAUUUUACUCCAAAUGACACAUCAUGUUUAUUGUAAGAAUUGAACAUUAAUAAAUGAGUUAGAAAAUUUUUUAAUAACUCAAACUCAAUUUUCAGUUUCACACACAUGUAUUUAAAAUUGCUGUUCAUUAAUUCUUUCCUUUCAGACUCUUUGAAAAGUAUUCAAAACUCUCCCAGGAUAUUACUAAAGAAGUAAAUACUUCCAUCAUUUGAUCAUCUGUAUUUCUGUCAUCCACAGAAAAAAAUGGAUUGGCACAGGUUUCAUCAUGUGAACAGAUUUUUCACGAACUGAUGGACAAUUAACUGUCAUCUCUGAAGAAGAAUCCAGAUGAGUAUUUUCAAAUUUUGGGGUACAAUAUUUCCCUCAGCAGGCAGUAAAAAAGUAAGAAGUUUAAAAAUUAAAAUUGGAAAAGUCUCACUGCCUCCUAUAUUUUCUUUAGUAUUUCACUUAAACAAAUAUCUGGUUUGCCUGUUUUCUACCACUGGGGACAGGGCUAUUGAGUAGUCUGCACCAGAAAGCAUCUCUCCAUAGGAAAAAAAUAAUAUUCUUUAGCAUUUACUCUCAAAUGUGAAAGCCCACAACUCAGUAGAAAGUUUUUCAUGCUGAAUUUCUCCAAACAGCAAGCUAAUAAUAUGCUACUUUCCUAUUUAUUAUGACUGAUUUUUAUUUCUUUUUAUAAUUGCACUUCAUUAAAUGUAUCCCCAGAGAAACUAUAUCAAAGUUGUCUCCAUGUAAAUGUAAUUAAUGUAACAGGUUGAAAUGUUACUCCCUGUCAUUGAGAUAUCCACAACACAUCCUAGUCUAAUCAAAUAGGAGUGACACUUAAAAAUAGUUCAAGAGCCUAAAGCGUUUUGCUAUCUGAACAGCGGAGGGCAAGUAUUUAGUUCCAGUGCUACAGCCCACCCACUGCAAGCACAGACAUUUUUACUUUCAAAAUUAGUCUUUAUUGUUCUAUGGGGUUUUUGGUUUGUUUCUUUUUUGCAGUAAUAUAGUCCAUGAUCUUUCAAUAUUGAGGUACCUUCAUACCAGUCUCUCCAUAUUUUUUGAUAUUAAAUGGCAAGGAUCAUACUGACAGUCUUGAAAUUCUCUGGCCAUAUUGGGUAAUAACAGUAGGCCCUUUCUCUUUUGCAGAAUAUUCCUUGACAAUGGAGAAGAGGUAAACCUUGGAAGAAAAUUGUAGAUAUGAAGGAUUUUCAGUCUACACUUUCCAGGACCAAGCAGUCUGUAAGAUUCUCCAUGGGUACUCAUCACAAUUUGCCUUAAUUUCUUGACUCUUUAUGUUUGUCAGGGAGGUGGAGGGAUUUCAUGAGCAUAUGUGCAAAAGGUGAGGCUUCAAUGAUUUUCUUAAUGAAAGGGAUGGCUGUCGUACCCUAUAGGAUACUCUCUUGCAAGGUAGACAUGGCAGAAAUCCUGGUUUAUUUCUCCAAGUCAUAUAUUUUUUUCAACAAUAUAAGAUAAGUAAAAUUGUCUACAUCACAUUGGCUUUCGAACUGGCUUUAGGACUGGCUUUGAGACCCGGGCAUGGAAACACACAAUGAACAUAUAAGGGUACAUUGAUGAAAGGAACCCAUGUUCCUUUGCAGUCUAGCUGUUAUUGGAAACAGCUAUGUAAUGGUUCAAACUCCACGGAGCAACCGUGUGCUUCACUGCUAAGGUUUUAGACAGUCUAAAUUGUGAAUAAUACCACAUCUGUGCUCCCCUGUAUUUGUUGUCAAUUAGGCAACUGUAAAGAUUAUCCACUAGUGAGUCAGGUGUACUAUGAAAUACAAGUGGUUUAACCAAAACCAGAACAGAGUAAAACUAUGCAUGCAAAUAAACUUCUAAGUGAUUAAAAAGAAAACAAAAUCACAUCACGAGUAGACAAUAUGCCUGUGAGAAAAAAAAAGUGCAUUUUAUGACUAAAUACCCAAGGCAUGCUUAUCACUCUUAAUUCAGCAUGCACAACACCAUGCUGAGGUGCCAUGCAGAAGGACAGACAUGCAAGAAUCCAAUUUCAUUAGUUGCAAACCAAGAAAGGCAUUUAAUCAGAACAGCUCCUUAAUCUGCCAGAGUCGUGGCUGGUAAGCAUUGCAAGGAAGGCCAGGGAAGAGUGGGAAAACAGGUGUAUGUCACAGAGGGAAUAAAAUAGAGUAGAUCCUGUUAACUUAGAGAAAUAUGUGCUCCAUGCUGAAAGAGUGACCAAUUAGUGCCCCUGAAAUCCUUCCACAUGGGUGAGGAUUUCAAACUCUCUAACAUCAAAAUAAUAGUUAUGAAAACAAGUUUUAAAAUUUCUACUAAAAUAGAUCCCUUUCUCCUACCAAUAAAAAAUAAACUAUGAAUUAGAAUAUUAGAAAUACUACUGAGAAUAAAAUACAGGAAUAUCAAGCAAAUUAUCAAUUACAAAGAAUAGACUAUAUCCAUGAAACUAUGUAAGUGACCUUCUGCAUCAUAAAUGCUAUUGGACUUAGGAAAUGUCUGUAGAAAAAUAAAAGUACAAGUCAGACCUAAUGUUCCUAAUAAACAAGCUUUCCACCUAAGGUUUUAAUCUUUAUAAGGAAAACUUGGAAAAUUAGUCCUGAAAGAAAUGCAUAUUAAUUCUUCCUUGACAGGCAGACAAAAGGAGUACAAAGAAGUUUGGGCAGAGCACUUUGUUAAUGCUGAGACAGUACUGCCUCGGCUGAGCAACUGUAGUCCAGGGACAAAUGAGACCAGAAAAUCUAUGAAAGAAUGUUCAGCAGUUCCUCUGAGAAACUGUCACUUAUCACAAGCAUGUUAGACAGAAGGUAAAAAAUAUUUUUGAGGCCCAUUUCUCAAGAGAUAAAAUCAGAAAGCAGUUUUUUAUAUUGUGCUCAGUUGGCCUCUUGUGGUCUAUGUUUAAAUAUAUCAGUAGAACCCAACUGUCACUGUUGCAGUUGUGAUAUUAAUGGGAAAGACUUGUGGAUUAGAAAAAAAUGCGUUUAUGGCUAAAGCUCCCUAUUAUCUAUUGUAAAGGUCUGAGAACCUCUAAAUACUUCUCUUUCAUAAGAAUUAAAAUAUAAGUCUUAGAAGUUAUUUGAUAUUGAUACAAUUAUUGUGGCUUAAAGGAGGACAUCCAUGAAAUUUGUCAGUAUCAAGGAUGAAUACUAACCAGCAAAACUAGAAAAUCAGCUGCAUGAAGCAUCUUAGCAAAAAUUCAUCCUUACAUGGCUUCCUUGAAUCCCCUGUGUAUAUUUCAUUCAUUUCUAAUAGUUAAGACUGCCCUGUCAUGGUGAAACUUUGAGUAGGUGAAGAACAUUUCAGCUUAUUUUGUUAAAGUCAUCACAAGACAUUAACUGACCUCCAGUAGAUUGAUGUGACUGAAAAAAUGCAUUAAUUGAUAUAUUUAAAAAGCUGUAUUUAUUAAUGAAACCUAAGGAACUGAGCUUUACUUUUAAUGUUAAUUGUUUGAGCACUAUCAUAUGUUAUAUUAAGUGAACUACUUUUCUAUAAAUUCUUGCUUAAAAUUUGUAUAAAAAUAAAAAACCCCAUAAUCUUAGAAUUAAUGUAUGUUAACUUUUUGUAACAGAAACAUUGUAAAAAUAUUUUCAAAGAAAAAAUUCUAAAUUAUAUUACUAUUAAUGACGUUAUAAAUCCAUAUGUUUUGCCUAAGGAAUCAGAAAAUGAUGUUUGAUGUAAUUAAUCACAGAAAACCCUAAUAUGUCUAGGCAAAGAAAUUUUCUAUACAAGAAUUUUUUUUUUCUUGACAAAUGUUAAUAUUGAGAUUGAUAAAAAUUAUUCCUUGUUUGAAAGAAUUGCAGUGUCAAGGUGAUUGUAAUUUAAUUCCUCAGUUGAUUUGCACUCAGAAUUCUGUUUGGACAAAGUUCUUUAUCAUAAAAUAUAUAGACAGAUAAAAGGAUAAAAAAAUACCAGAUUGUAAAGCUAAUUGGAUAUUAGAGUUAUUAAAGCGUGUUUUCCGCACAUUAAUCUAUUCAGUAAAAUGAAUUACAGUAAUACUUCUGUUCACAAAAGUACAGUGUAAAAUGAGUACUUUGCCUGAGAAAGACAAACUAACCAGGUACUGUUUGGUGGCACUCCUCUCAAUGAUAUCCAUAAAUCAAGGCUGAUCACACCUGACCUCUACUUUGCUUCUCAGAAACAGUGAAUAGUUUUUCUGGAGUCUGGAUGUUUCAGCAUUGCCUUUCACAGCCAGUGGCUUGACCAAAGCUUGUUUUGAAGGCAAUGUGGGUUUUUUUUCCCUCCCACAAAAAUAUAUCUAGCCUCAGCACAACAACCAUCUGUUAACUUCAGGGGCCAACAAGUGACUUGAGAGCAGUUGCUGUACAGAUGGAGCCCAGGUGGACUUUGGGAGAUGGUAAGGGGCAGGCCUUUUCCAUUUCACCUAAAAAUUAGAUUAUUAAAGUAUUUUAUGAACUAUUUCCACUUUUUCAGAGCCUAAACCUGUCACCUGAGGUUUUCAUCCACCUGUAAGCCAUCUGAUCACCCCAUGUCUUUCAGCUCUAACCUGUGGCUUCUUACCACAAGUCUGUCAUACCACACUGGUAUGGUGCAAGACAAACACUAGAAGGGAAGGGUCAUGUCUUUUAUCUUCUGAAAUUCAAGUUGCUACAGACUUCCCUCUCUAUCUCACUGCUGCCCUUCAUGGUUUUCCCAGUUUCCUUGUAGCUGGAAAGGUCAAAACUUAAAAAAACUAAACCCUCCCUUCCUACAGCUUGUCUGCUCUUCCUCAGGAGAGUGUAAAAUAGGCCAGGGAGCCUUAUGGGAAAAAAAGGUUUCUUUCACUGCUGCUUUUAAAUGUCAGAAGAACUGUAAAAAAGAUCUUGAAGAUCUCCAUGAAAGUAUUUCUCAUGUGAAUUCUUGAUGGUACAGCUGUCUAAAUCCAAAAACUAGGUCAUUUACAUUACUACAGGUUGUUAUUUUCUAAAUCAAAGCAUGGCUUGCAGUCUCUGGAAAGUUUGGCUAAUCAUUCUCACCCUCUGAGCCUAAAGCCAUCCCUCUGUUUAUAACUGGCUGUCUUUAGAAGUCCUAGAGGCGGUGCACUAUUUUGCUAUCUUUUAAUGGAACCCGCUACCUCUCCAUGGCACUCUUUGAGAACAGGAGACACAAACCCCCUCCUAACAGAAACCCAAGAUUGUUCAUUUUCUUUCCACAAAAAUGUCUGUCCUCCUCUCCCCUUUGUGAGAGUCUUUCUUUCUCAGCCACGUCCUUCCCAGCUCUGUCUGAACCUGCGCGUGUCAAGAGGGGAUGCAAGCCACAAGGCAGAGAUAAGAAAAAAACCAACCAAUUCACAGGUGUACCAGUGGAGAGCUUGUUGAGCAAAUAACUGAAUAAACAAACUUGUAGGGCUUAGUGUGUCCUUAAAUAUUCUCUCCUUGACUCUUUUCAUGACUAUUAUUGUUUUUCAUUCCCUGGGUUAUGUCCUCUCUACAUUAUGUCUAGACUUCAGCAAGAAGAAUGUUUAUUAAAUAAGGUCAGGGUAGACUUAGUACCAUGAGUUGAUGUUCAGUCAUCAUCCAUAGCUCUGUCUUCUUUUUUUGGUGAGGAAUUACAUGUCUGUGUUAUAAUAGAUUAGCAUGGAGGUGUGGGAAGAGAGAAGAUAAAGCACAGAAGUGAUAGAUCAACACUAUUUUAUAUAUCAACAGCAAUGGAAGUUCUAUUUUUGAAGCAUUUUGGAGUUAAGCCUUGCUAUUUCUGGAGAAAAAACCCCAAUAAAACAAAUAAUGAGCUAUUAACAAUAAGCUCCUUUCUCUUGUAUCUUAGCCAAAAGAAGCAUGGAAAAUUUUAGCAAUUUCCACAGCCUUCCACUGACUCUGCUUUUAACAUAACCUCGAUUUUAAUUCAUGCACUGUAGACAGAAAAUUAGAAGCUUUAAUAAAACAGCCAUUAGCUCUUAUGCUUUAUUAAAACUAUUUGCACACUCUUUGUUGCUCUUGUGAGACCUUUCAAUAAUAAAAACCACACUUUUAAUACAUAAAAGAGCAAAAACUCUCAGGGAAACAGAAGACUAUUA
Molecule: long non-coding RNA, 9070 nt
Organism: Poecile atricapillus (Black-capped chickadee)
Lineage: Eukaryota; Metazoa; Chordata; Aves; Passeriformes; Paridae
Exons: 5
Source: RefSeq, a predicted model, not a curated record